UUAGAUAUUCUUCAGUCUUCCAGAGUUCCAAAGGGCAGUAGGAAGAAGCAAUGAAAAUACCACCUGUAUUCUCACAUCUUUCAUUGUUCCACUCAAAAAAUACCACCAUGUUCACUUCUGGUGGAACGUUUAUGUCCAUGAGAAGCAGUGGCUUUGAAGAGUUUUGGCAGACUAUGGCGCCUUACUCAACAUUGGGAAGGUAUCUUGCCAUCAGACCUUUUGGGUCUCCAUGAAACUUCUUAUACCCCCUCUGGGAAAAGUCACUAACUGUGAUCUUACUGAGCUUCUAAACACAGCAUUUUUUUUACACUUAAGUGAGCGGGGGUCCUCCUCAUUUGUGCUUCUCUUCUUGUAAGGGUGACUUCCUCCCAGUAGGAUGAAUCUCAUGCCUAUUUGUGUUAUUUUGCUAAUUCCAGCUUCUUUUCUACUCAGGGGGGUUCCAACUCUUUUAAGGUCUCAUCUUCAGCACUUCUAAACUGUGGGAAACUAUGUGAAAACAAAUGGAGUGGCCAAACACACCAUUCAUCACUGUGCUUCUGGACAGCUGCAAGUCCAUACGUGUUCUGAUGAAGUCUGGCUCUGUUGCCCAGGCUGGAGUGCAAUGGCACAGUCUCGGCUCACUGCAACCUCUGCCUCCUGGGUUCAUGCAAUUCUCCUGCCUCAGCUUCCCAAGUAGCUGGGAUUACAGACAUGCACCACCAUGCCCAGCUAAUUUU
Long non-coding RNA from Homo sapiens (human), 716 nucleotides. Ensembl annotates it as SYT9 antisense RNA 1. Its record names the gene SYT9-AS1. The record is from Ensembl. NCBI's taxonomy places the organism in Eukaryota, Metazoa, Chordata, Mammalia, Primates, Hominidae.